This 77-nucleotide transfer RNA is filed under the name Bradyrhizobium japonicum. RNAcentral's name for it is "tRNA-Arg (CCG) (tRNA-Arg-CCG-2-1)". The record is from RNAcentral. RNAcentral also lists the same sequence under 2 other names. Lineage: Bacteria; Pseudomonadati; Pseudomonadota; Alphaproteobacteria; Hyphomicrobiales; Nitrobacteraceae.
AGGUAAGCAGAGGCAAUAUCCUCACCUUUGCCCUCCGAAGGCAAAGGUCACACGUUCGAAUCGUGUCGGGUGCGCCA